GUCAAGUGGGAGGGAACGCAUGAGUGGUUUGGUUGAAGUUUUUCAUUUCUUCUGUGCUUCUGAUUCCCCCCAAGCUGGCUUGGUUUGCAAGUGGAGACACCAGGAAUGGGUUGUAGUGGGAUGCUCUCGGCGUUGAUCCAGGGAGGACUUUCUGGUCCGAUGAGCCUGGACAUUGAAGUCCUCUGACAGAGAGCCAGAGAUACUUCAGGAGAAGAGAGGGCUUAUCUGGAGAAGAGGAGGCUCAGGGGAGACCUUUUAUCUCUCUACACUACAGCUACCUGAAAGAAGGUUGUGGUGAGGUGAGGGCCAGCCUCUUCUCCCAUGGAACUAGCGAUAGGAUGAGGGGAAAUGGCCUCCAGUUGCACCAGGGGAGGUUCAGUUUGGGAGUUAGGAAACAUUUCUUCUCCAAAAGAGUGGUCAGGCACUGGAAUGGGCUGCCCAAGGAGGUGGUUGAGUCACCGUCCCUGAAGGUGUUCAAGAAACAUCUAGAUGUUGUACUGAGAGACAUGGUUUAGUGGGGAAAUAAUGGCGGUAUGUUGAACUCGAUGGUCUUGGAGGUCUUUUCCAACCUUGGUGAUUCUAUGAUUCAACUUUGCUCUGAGGUGCUCUGUCAGCAGAGCCUUCCUGCCUGUCCUCCAAUGAGUUUGGAGAGAGAGAAGUAUUUACACACUUCUGGAGAAGAAAACUGGAGAGAGAAGUCCGAUGGGGAUAGUGAGGUGGAGACAGACCGAAGAAGUUUUGAGCACAGUCAGGUUUGGCUUUAGAAGGCAAAAGACCCCAGUUCAACAUUCUCCAUUCUGCAUCCAAAGAGGAAAGGAAAACCAUCUUCAUGUGCAGGAGAACAUGAACGCCACAUCACUGGAUUGGAAUAAAU
This 874-nucleotide long non-coding RNA is filed under the name Gallus gallus (chicken). RNAcentral describes it as "long non-coding RNA NONGGAT001424". Lineage: Eukaryota; Metazoa; Chordata; Aves; Galliformes; Phasianidae. The record is from RNAcentral.